UACGUAGGGUCCGAGCGUUGUCCGGAAUUACUGGGCGUAAAGAGCUCGUAGGUGGUUUGUCGCGUUGUUCGUGAAAACUCACAGCUCAACUGUGGGCGUGCGGGCGAUACGGGCAGACUUGAGUACUGCAGGGGAGACUGGAAUUCCUGGUGUAGCGGUGAAAUGCGCAGAUAUCAGGAGGAACACCGGUGGCGAAGGCGGGUCUCUGGGCCGAUACUGACGUGAGGAGCGAAAAGCGUGGGGGAGCGA
RNAcentral lists this ribosomal RNA (249 nucleotides) under uncultured bacterium. Its description in RNAcentral is "partial 16S ribosomal RNA". It matches the Rfam family "Bacterial small subunit ribosomal RNA", at positions 524 to 771 of the family's 1533-position model. The record is from RNAcentral.